Octopus sinensis (East Asian common octopus) is the source of this 81-nucleotide non-coding RNA. The record is from the annotation of a RefSeq genome assembly. NCBI's taxonomy places the organism in Eukaryota, Metazoa, Mollusca, Cephalopoda, Octopoda, Octopodidae.
GACGAUGUGGCCGAGUGGUUAAGGCGGCAGACUGCUAAUCUGUUGGGUUAUCCCGCGUGGGUUCGAAUCCCACCGUCGUCG